RNAcentral lists this long non-coding RNA (399 nucleotides) under Lupinus angustifolius (narrow-leaved blue lupine). RNAcentral describes it as "long non-coding RNA (LANG_LNC000460)". The record is from RNAcentral. Lineage: Eukaryota; Viridiplantae; Streptophyta; Magnoliopsida; Fabales; Fabaceae.
CAAAAGGAAACACAGCCAGACCUCCUAUUUAAUGUAAUCCAUUCAAUGAAUGAAAUUCGUAUACUCUUUAUGUUUUUUAUGUAUCAACGGAUAAUUAUUUCUCUUGAUCGCUUCUGUUUAUAUUUCUUCACUUCCAAAAUUUAACAAAGAAUCAUCAUUCAUAUUCAAGUUUGAACUUCUACACUCUUCCCCACAAACACUACAAGAUUUCCAACUUAGAGUUGAACCAAACAAGGAAGGAGUUGAAGCAGGACAAGGUACGGAUGAUGCAGAACCAUAAAGUGAGGAUGAAGGUGCAGCACACGAUGAUGCAAACAAAUAGGAUGCUGGAGCUUGAUGGUGUUGGAGUUUGGUUUAUUGAAAACCAUUUGUGAGAAUUUUUGGGUGUAAAAGACGAGG